This 253-nucleotide ribosomal RNA is filed under the name uncultured bacterium. RNAcentral's name for it is "partial 16S ribosomal RNA". It matches the Rfam family "Bacterial small subunit ribosomal RNA", at positions 524 to 776 of the family's 1533-position model. The record is from RNAcentral.
UACGAAGGGGGCUAGCGUUGCUCGGAUUGACUGGGCGUAAAGGGCGCGUAGGCGGUUCGUACAGUCAGACGUGAAAUUCCUGGGCUCAACCUGGGGGCUGCGUUUGAUACGUGCGGACUUGAGUGCGGAAGAGGGUCGUGGAAUUCCCAGUGUAGAGGUGAAAUUCGUAGAUAUUGGGAAGAACACCGGUGGCGAAGGCGGCGACCUGGACCGAUACUGACGCUGAGGCGCGAAAGCGUGGGGAGCAAACAGG